RNAcentral lists this long non-coding RNA (1021 nucleotides) under Homo sapiens (human). RNAcentral describes it as "nuclear factor, erythroid 4, transcript variant 3 (NFE4)". Lineage: Eukaryota; Metazoa; Chordata; Mammalia; Primates; Hominidae. The record is from RNAcentral.
AGACUGGGACAAUUCCUGUUUACGGAAGACUAUAAAACCCUGCCCCCUACUCAUUUGGUGCUGACGCCAUUUUAGGCCUUAGCCUGCCUGCACCCAGGCGCUCAUUAAAACAGCAGGUUGCUCCACACUGCCUCGUGUUGUCUGUUGGCACACUCUCAAGAGUUUGAACGGAUACAAGAAUCUUUCAUCUGGUGCCGAAACCCGGGAGGGGCUCCGGUCUUCGUCCCCCGUGGACCUACCCCUCCGCCCCAGAAAGCAGGCCACAGCAGCCGGACAAAGGAAGCUCCUCAGCCUCCAGUUGCUUCUCUGUGCAUGCACAUCAGUCACUGAUCUCACCUACUGGGAGUGAAGAUGGAAUGAGAAGAACAGAGAAACAAUGACAGAGUCCUUACAAACACCAUGAUACAAGAAGGCAAUGGGGAUAUGUUAUCCUAAAGGAAUCCUAAAAGAAGUGAUCAAAAAGGUGAACAGAAAACCAAGUGGGAGUACUGUCACUGAGGAUGAGUUUCCAGAGAGAAUUAAUGCUGAAGAAGCUAUUGCAGACACUGCUGAGUAUGAAGAACUAAUUGGAGAAGGAAGCCGUUGUAUAGCAGAUGCAGAGCAGCAGCAAAAAUGGUAAUGAAAAUAGAAGAUAAAUUAGAAAAUUUGGAAAAACCCAAACAGAUCAGCCAUAUUGAAGGGAAAAAGAAAAACAAAACAAAGUGGGAGGGCAGAAAUGUAGAACGGUAUACACUCUUUUAACCCCAAGGAUGAAUGUAGCCAAGAACACAGUGGGGACUUAGGAGUCUCAGCACAGAGCAUUCUCUACUCCCUACUGCUCAGGCAAAGAACUCCUUCAUCAUGCAGAACCAAAACUGGUGUAGAGUCUUAAAUGACCUGGGUAUCUCUACGCAGAAGAAAGCGCUUUCCAUGUAAAAGGAUUAACUUGAACCUGGGUGCUCAAGGGACACCCUAGGCUGCUUAUCCCACUGAUUCUGAUCUGACUGUGUUAAGUAAUAAAUCAUGUGGUUACAUAUUCACA